RNAcentral lists this transfer RNA (90 nucleotides) under Pseudooceanicola sp. RNAcentral's name for it is "tRNA-Ser". It matches the Rfam family "tRNA". From Rfam's summary of the family: Transfer RNA (tRNA) molecules are approximately 80 nucleotides in length. The record is from RNAcentral. RNAcentral also lists the same sequence under 1 other name. Lineage: Bacteria; Pseudomonadati; Pseudomonadota; Alphaproteobacteria; Rhodobacterales; Paracoccaceae.
GGAGAGAUGCCGGAGCGGUCGAACGGGGCGGUCUCGAAAACCGUUGUGGGUGCAAGCCCACCCAGGGUUCGAAUCCCUGUCUCUCCGCCA